GACGAACGCUGGCGGCGUGCCUAAUACAUGCAAGUAGAACGCUGAAGAGAGGAGCUUGCUCUUCUUGGAUGAGUUGCGAACGGGUGAGUAACGCGUAGGUAACCUGCCUGGUAGCGGGGGAUAACUAUUGGAAACGAUAGCUAAUACCGCAUAAAAUUGAUUAUUGCAUGAUAAUUAAUUGAAAGAUGCAACUGCAUCACUACCAGAUGGACCUGCGUUCGAUUAGCUAGUUGGUGAGGUAACGGCUCACCAAGGCGACGGUACAUAGCCGACCUGAGAGGGUGAUCGGCCACCCUGGGACUGAGACACGGCCCAGACUCCUACGGGAGGCAGCAGUAGGGAAGCUGCAGCAAUGGGGGGAACCCUGAGCGAGCAACGCCGCGGGAGUGAAGAAGGUGUCCGGAUUGUAGAGCGCUGUCGUAAGAGAAGAGCGGGUGUGAGAGGGGAAAUUUCACACUGUGACGGUAUCUUAUCAGAAAGCGACGGCUAACUACGUG
This 497-nucleotide ribosomal RNA is filed under the name uncultured bacterium. RNAcentral's name for it is "partial 16S ribosomal RNA". It matches the Rfam family "Bacterial small subunit ribosomal RNA", at positions 28 to 507 of the family's 1533-position model. The record is from RNAcentral.